RNAcentral lists this ribosomal RNA (592 nucleotides) under uncultured bacterium. RNAcentral describes it as "bacterial SSU rRNA". It matches the Rfam family "Bacterial small subunit ribosomal RNA", at positions 338 to 943 of the family's 1533-position model. The record is from RNAcentral.
CCUACGGGAGGCAGCAGUGGGGAAUCUUGCGCAAUGGGCGAAAGCCUGACGCAGCAACGCCGCGUGCGGGAAGAAGGCUUUCGGGCUGUAAACCGCUUUCAGCAGGAACGAAAAUGACGGUACCUGCAGAAGAAGGAGCGGCCAACUAUGUGCCAGCAGCCGCGGUGAUACAUAGGCUUCAAGCGUUGUCCGGAUUUAUUGGGCGUAAAGAGUUCGUAGGCGGUCAAGUAAGUCGGGUGUGAAAAUUCUGGGCUCAACCCAGAGACGCCACCCGAUACUGCUUAACUUGAGUUCGAUAGGGGAGUGGGGAAUUCCUAGUGUAGCGGUGAAAUGCGCAGAUAUUAGGAGGAACACCGGUGGCGAAGGCGCCACUCUGGAUCGAUACUGACGCUGAGGAACGAAAGCAUGGGUAGCAAACAGGAUUAGAUACCCUGGUAGUCCAUGCCGUAAACGGUGGGCACUAGGUGUGGGUUUCUAUUAACGAAAUCCGCGCCGUCGCUAACGCAUUAAGUGCCCCGCCUGGGGAGUACGGUCGCAAGACUAAAACUCAAAGAUAAUGCGNGNGAGAGCGACGACGACGACGACGGAGGAG